This 30-nucleotide non-coding RNA is filed under the name Rattus norvegicus (Norway rat). Lineage: Eukaryota; Metazoa; Chordata; Mammalia; Rodentia; Muridae. The record is from RNAcentral.
UUGCAGAGAACCCAAAUUCAGUUCCUGGUA